GACGAACGCUGGCGGUAUGCCUAAUACAUGCAAGUCGAACGCUGAAGCACUCUGCUUGCAGAGUGCGGAUGAGUGGCGAACGGGUGAGUAACACGUGGGUAACCUGCCCAUAAGAGGGGGAUAACAGCCGGAAACGGGUGCUAAUACCGCAUAGGUGAACGGAGCGCAUGCUCUGCUCAUUAAAGAUGGCCUUGUGCUAUCGCUUAUGGAUGGACCCGCGGCGUAUUAGCUAGUUGGUGAGGUAAUGGCUCACCAAGGCGAUGAUACGUAGCCGACCUGAGAGGGUGAUCGGCCACACUGGGACUGAGACACGGCCCAG
RNAcentral lists this ribosomal RNA (319 nucleotides) under uncultured bacterium. RNAcentral describes it as "bacterial SSU rRNA". It matches the Rfam family "Bacterial small subunit ribosomal RNA", at positions 28 to 334 of the family's 1533-position model. The record is from RNAcentral.